UACAGAGGUCUCAAGCGUUGUUCGGAUUCAUUGGGCGUAAAGGGUGCGUAGGCGGCGCGCUAAGUCAGGUGUGAAAUCUCGGGGCUUAACUCCGAAACUGCAUUUGAUACUGGCGUGCUUGAGGACUGGAGAGGAGAGUGGAAUUCCUGGUGUAGCGGUGAAAUGCGCAGAUAUCAGGAAGAACACCCGUGGCGAAGGCGGCUCUCUGGAACGCAACUGACGCUGAGACGCGAAAGCGUGGGGAGCGAACAGG
RNAcentral lists this ribosomal RNA (253 nucleotides) under uncultured bacterium. Its description in RNAcentral is "partial 16S ribosomal RNA". It matches the Rfam family "Bacterial small subunit ribosomal RNA", at positions 524 to 776 of the family's 1533-position model. The record is from RNAcentral.